CUGGGCUGGGAUCAGGCAGCAUCUCAGAGCAAAGAGCAGCAGAAGGGGAUGGAAGAACAGCCCCCUCUCUCUCUCUCUCUCUCUCCUCCUGUGGGGUGGAGGUGCCAGGCACAGCCAGGGGAUGGAAGAACAGCCCCCUCCUCAUCCUGCCACCCCGAGCACCAGACUUGCCCUUGCUUUCAUACUGCACACCUCUCCUGUCCCUUUGAAAGGAAUCCUGAGGGCAUUCUAAAGCAGGAAGAGUUUGUGGAGUGAGUUGGUGAGUAUAAAUAGCUCUGAAGCAGAGCAGCACC
This 293-nucleotide long non-coding RNA is filed under the name Serinus canaria (Common canary). RNAcentral's name for it is "lncRNA (ENSSCAG00000003533.1)". Lineage: Eukaryota; Metazoa; Chordata; Aves; Passeriformes; Fringillidae. The record is from RNAcentral.